Molecule: ribosomal RNA, 497 nt
Filed under: uncultured bacterium
Lineage: Bacteria
Description: partial 16S ribosomal RNA
Rfam family: Bacterial small subunit ribosomal RNA
Source: RNAcentral
GACGAACGCUGGCGGCGUGCCUAAUACAUGCAAGUAGAACGCUGAAGAGAGGAGCUUGCUCUUCUUGGAUGAGUUGCGAACGGGUGAGUAACGCGUAGGUAACCUGCCCUGUAGCGGGGGAUAACUAUUGGAAACGAUAGCUAAUACCGCAUAACAAUGGAUGACACAUGUCAUUUAUUUGAAAGGGGCAAUUGCUCCACUACAAGAUGGACCUGCGUUGUAUUAGCUAGUAGGUGAGGUAACGGCUCACCUAGGCGACGAUACAUAGCCGACCUGAGAGGGUGAUCGGCCACACUGGGACUGAGACACGGCCCAGACUCCUACGGGAGGCAGCAGUAGGGAAUCUUCGGCAAUGGGGGCAACCCUGACCGAGCAACGCCGCGUGAGUGAAGAAGGUUGUCGGAUCGUAAAGCUCUGUUGUAAGUCAAGAACGAGUGUGAGAGUGGAAAGUUCACACUGUGACGGUAGCUUACCAGAAAGGGACGGCUAACUACGUG